Molecule: long non-coding RNA, 966 nt
Filed under: Lupinus angustifolius (narrow-leaved blue lupine)
Lineage: Eukaryota; Viridiplantae; Streptophyta; Magnoliopsida; Fabales; Fabaceae
Description: long non-coding RNA (LANG_LNC003548)
Source: RNAcentral
CAAUUCAUUCUCCACCUCCUCCAUACAAGUAUUCAUCACCUCCACCACCACAUAAGAAGCCAUACAAAUACUCAUCCCCACCACCACCUGUUUAUAAGUACAAGUCACCUCCUCCUCCUGUUCAUUCACCUCCUCCUCCCUAUAAGUAUCUCUCACCACCACCACCUGUGCAUUCUCCUCCCCCACCAUACUAUUACAAAUCUCCACCACCACCAAAGAAGGAAUAUAAGUACCCAUCUCCACCACCACCUGUUUACAAGUAUCAGUCUCCUCCUCCACCGGUCCAUUCUCCUCCUCCUCCUUACAAGUAUCCAUCUCCACCACCACCGGUGCAUUCUCCUCCUCCACCGUAUUAUUACAAAUCUCCACCACCACCAAAGAAAGAAUACAAGUAUCCAUCUCCACCACCACCUAUUUACAAGUAUAAGUCUCCUCCUCCCCCAGUCCAUUCUCCUCCUCCUCCUUACAAAUACUCAUCUCCACCACCACCGGUGCAUUCUCCUCCCCCUCCAUACUAUUACAAAUCUCCACCACCACCAAAGAAAGAAUACAAAUACUCAUCUCCACCACCACCUGUUUACAAGUAUAAGUCUCCUCCACCUCCCGUUCACUCACCACCUCCACCACACUAUGUCUAUGCAUCACCACCUCCACCACACUAUGUCUAUGCAUCACCACCUCCACCACACUAUGUCUAUGCAUCACCACCUCCACCACACUAUGUCUAUGCAUCACCACCUCCACCACACUAUGUCUAUGCAUCACCACCUCCACCUGUCCAUUCCCCACCUCCACCACAUUACAUCUAUUCCUCACCUCCUCCCCCUCACUACUAAAUAGUGGUUUAGCUGAUCAACCAUAUUGGUAAGCUUCUUGGUACACCCUAUGUUAUUGUAACAUUAUUGAUGCACACUCAAGCAAACUUACACUCUUAUACUUAAUCCUUACUUAUAAUCACAAGCAAGC